RNAcentral lists this ribosomal RNA (1444 nucleotides) under Blattabacterium sp. RNAcentral's name for it is "16S ribosomal RNA". It matches the Rfam family "Bacterial small subunit ribosomal RNA". Lineage: Bacteria; Pseudomonadati; Bacteroidota; Flavobacteriia; Flavobacteriales; Blattabacteriaceae. The record is from RNAcentral.
UAGCGGCGGGNUUAACACAUGCAAGUCGAGGGGCAGCAUGAAAUUUAUUUAUUUAGAUUUUGAUGGCGACCGGCGGACGGGUGCGUAACACGUAUGUAACCUACCUUUUUCUAGAAAAUAGCCUGAGGAAACUCGGAUUAAUGUUCUAUAAUACAGUAUUUUCGCAUGAAAAUAUUAUUAAAGCAGAAAUGCGGAAAAAGAUGGGCAUGCGCCGAUUAGUUAGUUGGUGGGGUAAAAGCCUACCAAGACGAUGAUCGGUAGGGGGCCUGAGAGGGUGAUCCCCCACACUGGUACUGAGAUACGGACCAGACUCCUACGGGAGGCAGCAGUGAGGAAUAUUGGUCAAUGGAGGAAACUCUGAACCAGCCACGCCGCGUGCAGGAAGAAUGCCUUAUGGGUUGUAAACUGCUUUUGUUUAGGAAUAAAAAUUUCUACGUGAUAAAAAUUCUGAAGGUACUAGACGAAUAAGUGUCGGCAAACUCCGUGCCAGCAGCCGCGGUAAUACGGAGGACACAAGCGUUAUCCGGAUUUAUUGGGUUUAAAGAGUGCGUAGGCGGUUUAUUAAGUCAGUAGUGAAAUGUUACAGCUUAACUGUUAAAAUGGCUAAUGAUACUGAUAGACUUGAGUUAGAUUGGAGUAACUGGAAUGUGUGGUGUAGCGGUGAAAUGCAUAGAGAUCACACAGAACACCGAUCNCNAAAGCAGGUUACUAAAUUUAUACUGACGCUGAGGCACGAAAGCGUGGGGAGCAAACAGGAUUAGAUACCCUGGGUAGGUCCACGCCGUAAACGAUGAUCACUAGUCGUUGGAUUUUAUUAUUCAGUGGCUAAGCGAAAGUGAUAAGUGAUCCACCUGGGGAGUACGACCGCAAGGUUGAAACUCAAAGGAAUUGACGGGGGCCCGCACAAGCGUGGAGCAUGUGGUUUAAUUCGAUGAUACGCGAGGAACCUUACCAAGGUUUAAAUGUACUACGAAUAAGCUAGAAAUAGUUUAGUCUUCGGACGGAGUACAAGAUGCUGCAUGGUUGUCGUCAGCUCGUGCCGUGAGGUGUUGGGUUAAGUCCCUCAACGAGCGCAACCCUCAUUGUUAGUUGCCAACGAAUAAUGUCGGGGACUCUAGCAAGACUGCCGACGUAAGUCGAGAGGAAGGUGGGGACGACGUCAAAUCAUCACGGCUCUUAUAUCUUGGGCUACACACGUGCUACAAUGGUCGGUACAAAGGGUUGCUACUGAGCAAUCAGAAGCUAAUCUCUAAAAACCGAUCUCAGUUCGGAUUGGAGUCUGCAACUCGACUCUAUGAAGUUGGAAUCGCUAGUAAUCGCAUAUCAGCCAUGAUGCGGUGAAUACGUUCCCGGGCCUUGUACACACCGCCCGUCAAGCCAUGGAAGUCGGGGGGACCUGAAAUCGGUGACCAUAAAAGGAACUGAUUAAGGUAAAAUCGAUAAC